Molecule: ribosomal RNA, 279 nt
Filed under: uncultured Staphylococcus sp.
Lineage: Bacteria; Bacillati; Bacillota; Bacilli; Caryophanales; Staphylococcaceae
Description: partial 16S ribosomal RNA
Rfam family: Bacterial small subunit ribosomal RNA
Source: RNAcentral
CCUUUGACGUUAGCGGCGGACGGGUGAGUAACACGUGGGUAACCUACCUAUAAGACUGGGAUAACUUCGGGAAACCGGAGCUAAUACCGGAUAAUAUUUCGAACCGCAUGGUUCGAUAGUGAGAGGUGGUUUUGCUAUCACUUAUAGAUGGACCCGCGCCGUAUUAGCUAGUUGGUAAGGUAACGGCUUACCAAGGCGACGAUACGUAGCCGACCUGAGAGGGUGAUCGGCCACACUGGAACUGAGACACGGUCCAGACUCCUACGGGAGGCAGCAGAG